AAAAAGCUCGUAGUUGGAUUUCUGUGUGGGUGAGGCGGCCGGCCACUCGUGGUUGUAGCUAGUUAUCACCUGUACAUCUUGUCACAAGCCACGCUGGUCUUAAUUGAUUGGCGCUGGGGACUGACUCGUUUACUUUGAGAAAAUUAGAGUGUUCAAAGCAGGCUAUCGCCUUGAAUAUAUUAGCAUGGAAUAAUGAUAUAGGACUUUGGUUCUAUUUUGUUGGUUGUUCGAGAACCGAAGUAAUGAUUGAUAGGGACAGUUGGGGGCGUCAGUAUUCUGAAGCGAGAGGUGAAAUUCUUGGACCUUCGGAAGACUAACAACUGCGAAAGCAUUCGCCUAGGAUGUUCUCUUUAAUCAAGAACGAAAGUUGGGGGAUCGAAGACGAUCAGAUACCGUCGUAGUCUCAACUAUAAACUAUGCCAGCUAGGGAUUGGUGGACGUUUAUCUACGACUCCAUCAGCACCUUAUGAGAAAUCAAAGCAUUUGGGUUCCGGGGGGAGUAUGGUCGCAAGGCUGAAACUUAAAGGAAUUGACGGGAGGGCACCACCAGGAGUGGAGCCUGUGGCUUA
RNAcentral lists this ribosomal RNA (569 nucleotides) under uncultured marine eukaryote. RNAcentral describes it as "bacterial SSU rRNA". It matches the Rfam family "Eukaryotic small subunit ribosomal RNA", at positions 621 to 1192 of the family's 1831-position model. The record is from RNAcentral.